AAUGAACGCUGGCGGCGCGCCUAAUACAUGCAAGUCGAGCGAGAAGACGUAGCAAUACGUUUGUAAAGCGGCGAACGGGUGAGGAAUACAUGGGUAACCUACCCUCGAGUGGGGAAUAACUAGCCGAAAGGUUAGCUAAUACCGCGUACGCUUCUUGGACUUCGGUUCAGGGAGGAAAGCGAUGCCGAGGGUAUCGCGCUCUUGGAUGGGCUCAUGUCCUAUCAGCUUGUUGGNGAGGUAACGGCUCACCAAGGCUUCGACGGGUAGCUGGUCUGAGAGGACGAUCAGCCACACUGGCACUGCGACACGGGCCAGACUCCUACGGGAGGCAGCAGUAAGGAAUAUUGCGCAAUGGGCGAAAGCCUGACGCAGCGACGCCGCGGUGGGGGAUGAA
Molecule: ribosomal RNA, 394 nt
Filed under: uncultured bacterium
Lineage: Bacteria
Description: bacterial SSU rRNA
Rfam family: Bacterial small subunit ribosomal RNA
Source: RNAcentral